GACGUAGGGCGCAAGCGUUGUCCGGAUUUAUUGGGCGUAAAGAGCUCGUAGGCGGCUUGUUGCGUCGACCGUGAAAACCCGUGGCUCAACUGCGGGCUUGCGGUCGAUACGGGCGGGCUAGAGUUCGGUAGGGGAGACUGGAAUUCCUGGUGUAGCGGUGAAAUGCGCAGAUAUCAGGAGGAACACCGGUGGCGAAGGCGGGCCUCUGGGCCGAUACUGACGCUGAGGAGCGAAAGCGUGGGGAGCGAACAGG
This 253-nucleotide ribosomal RNA is filed under the name uncultured bacterium. RNAcentral describes it as "partial 16S ribosomal RNA". It matches the Rfam family "Bacterial small subunit ribosomal RNA", at positions 524 to 776 of the family's 1533-position model. The record is from RNAcentral.